RNAcentral lists this ribosomal RNA (117 nucleotides) under Danio rerio (zebrafish). The record is from RNAcentral. Lineage: Eukaryota; Metazoa; Chordata; Actinopteri; Cypriniformes; Danionidae.
GUCACAGCCAUAUCACCCUACAGCCCAAGACCAAUUACUUACUGAAGAUUAGCAGGGCUGAGCCUGGUCAGUACCGGCAUGUGAGACCACAUGGGGAAAACUAGGUUGCUGUUGAAA